RNAcentral lists this ribosomal RNA (66 nucleotides) under uncultured bacterium. RNAcentral describes it as "partial 16S ribosomal RNA". The record is from RNAcentral.
CGUGACGCCGCGUGCAGGAAGAAGGUUUUCGGAUUGUAAACUGCUUUAGACAGGGAAGAUACAAGA